Long non-coding RNA from Micropterus salmoides (largemouth bass), 1257 nucleotides. RefSeq lists it as uncharacterized. The transcript has 5 exons. NCBI's taxonomy places the organism in Eukaryota, Metazoa, Chordata, Actinopteri, Centrarchiformes, Centrarchidae. The record is from RefSeq and is a predicted model, not a curated record.
CCACAUCUUUCUCACCCAUGACAAGGAUCAAGAGGCCAAGGAUCAGGUGGUGAGGGCAGAACCAACAGACCAGACAGCUCUCCCACAGCCAGCCUCUGAACCUGCUCUACAGUCUGAAUAGCCCGGGUGAAGUUAAACUCUCCUUCGCUGGUGCACCAGAUGGCUGAGAACAGGAUAGGCUGAUGCCCUGGAAGCUAAGAGGGAGGCGGCAAAGGAGUUCGCAGGCGAGACUGCUGAUUGCAGAGGAGCUGAAACCCACAGAGGACACGGGUCUCAAUGAACACAAGGUUUAUUAUUUUUCUACAUGCCUUGUGCCGGGCCUGUAAAACAUAAGCUGGCUUGCCAACCGCCAAUAAAAGAAUAGCAGAAGCAGAAAGCUUUUGCCGUGGAAGAUACCGUUGCUAAGGCUCGGCCAGGAAGGUCAUGACGGGAAAUCCAGAGACCUGGAACGUGAACGUCCAGAAAAGCAGGAGAAUGGAGGGCCUGGAUUGAAGGACGCAAGAUAAAUGUGGACACCAUGCCAGUCUGCAGCCUGCCAAUGGUUCACUAAACUCUACUGCAGAAGACACAUCAUAAGAACAAGAUUGCUAAGUAUUUCUGGGGGAAUUAUGACUGAAGAAAUGGUUGUGAAGUCUGUGGUGAAGGGGAGCAGAGGGAUCCAGGAGGUCAGCAUCCAUUAUUUGUCACCUUGUAGUAGACUGGAGAAGAAUCUGUGUACCAACGCUUGUUCCUGUCAACAUUGGGCAUAAAGCAGUGGUGGUUUUUGAAGAGGAGAAAGUCAGAAGACUGAGGAACAGAAGGAAAAGAAAGACCAGCACGAUGCCUGCUGUUCAUUCAAGCCUGGAAACAUCGGAGGACAAAGAAGAUGCAGGUGAGAAGACCUCAGUGGCGCUCACUCCAAUUCCAGGCCAUACCGUGAGGUUCGUAACUUAAAGGACUUCAGCCAGAUGGGGAACUGGGGAAAAAGCUGGGAUCCAACGUUGCAUGACCUCCAAUCAGAUAUAACGUGGAUGGCACCGCUGAGAUGACUGGGAAGUCUAUCUGUCCCCACAGCAGCCCCACUGUGCACAGCCAGCCAGUUAAAGAGCUGAAGGUCAAACAGCCCCAAGAACUGAAGGUUUUGCCCCAGAACUUCCACUCAUCCUACGAUGGACUGGACCACGAGUGAUGCCCGUCAGCAGCUGGAGCCUCACGCACACUGAUGUACAUAAGCUAUAUUGGUUACACUUCAUUAAAAUCAGCGUAAUUAUACUUUUU